Molecule: long non-coding RNA, 2637 nt
Filed under: Homo sapiens (human)
Lineage: Eukaryota; Metazoa; Chordata; Mammalia; Primates; Hominidae
Description: non-protein coding lnc-GPR137B-6:1
Source: RNAcentral
CAAAGUUGCUAAAGUCCAUUAUCACAUGAGUCUGUACCAUAGUUCACAGACAUACACAUGUCACAGCCAAAAUCAUGUCUACUCAAGGAGAAGUUGUCACUGGGAAUAUAACAUGAUUAGCCUAUACAGCUAGUGUUACAUUUGACAUCGAAUGAGAAUAAAAAAUAAACAAUGAAUGCAUUUUUAAGAGAAAUCCUCUACACUGAAAGAGAGGAUCUGAAGGGGUUAGCAAACUGUGGCCCAUUGGCCAAAUUUAGUUCCACACCUGUUUUAGUGUGGCCUUUAAGCUGAGAAUGGUUUUUAUGUUUUCAAUUGUUUGAAAAAAAUCAAGGGAAGCAUACUAUAUCAUGACACACAAAACUGAAAUGAAAUUGAAAUUUCAGUGCCACUACAUACACUUUUGCUGGAACACAGCCAUGCCUGUUCAUUUAGGGAUCGUCUACAGCUGCUUUAGAGCUAGAAUGCCAGAGAUGAGUAAUAGCGGCAGAGACCGUAGGGCCUGCAAAGCCAAAUAUAUUUAAUAUGUGGCCCUGUAAGGAGAAUUUUGCUGACCUCUGCUCUGGAGGAUGGAAAGUACUUCCAGAUGAAGCUGGACUAUCCUAGGGACUCGGGGUCCAGGCUAGGACUUCUUGAUAAAGCCACCCUACAGAGAGAGGUUCAUCAAAGAGAGAAUAUAGUCCUGCACCCCAGACGAGCCUGCUCCACUGAACAGCAAGGACAGGAGGCAAACUGCCAGGAGAAGCCAGAGAGAAUGAGGGGCUGAGAGCACCUGGGACCAUAGCUUCUAUGAGUGACAACACCUUUCAUUUGCUCUAACCCUCACCCACAUUAUCCACUUCUGUAGAUACUCCUGAUAAGUCAAUGUUCCAGGUAUAUCCAAGUCACAAGAGUGGAAGGAUGGAAGCAUUACUGAGUUAGACCUAGUAUGUGCUGGAUGUUUAAAUGUUAAUCUUCCUCACGACUUUCCUAUCAGGUAGGCAUUAUCAUCUCCAUCUUUCAAGUGAUAUUAGCUUGCUUUUUUUUUUUUUUUUUUUGAGACGGAGUCUUGCUCUGUCACCCAGGCUGGAGCACAAUGGCAUAAUCUCGGCUCACUGCAACCUCCACCUCCCAGGUUCAAGCCAUUCUCCUGUCUCAGCCUCCCGAGUAGCUUGGACUACAGGAGCACGCACGCCACCAUGCCCAGCUAAUUUUUUUAUUUUUAUUAGAGAUGGGAUUUCACCAUGUUGGCUGGGAUUACAGGCGUGAGCCACUAUGCCCCACCAGCUUGCAUUUUUUUUUUCUGAGUGAUUACCAUAGUCCCUGGCAUUAUUCUGUGAGCUUUACAUAAAUGGAGUCAUUUAAUCCUCGCAACGAUUCUACAGAGGUCAUCAGGGCGACAUGGGCUACGUAAUUUGCCCAAGGUUGCUAAAAAAAGAACACACACACACACACACACACACACACACACACACACACAUAUAUAUAGUUGUUGUUGUUUUUUUUUGUUUUUGUUUUUUGUGGGGGGUGUAAACCAAUUUCCUUCAAGGCCUGCUAUCUGUCAUGUGAUGUUAUACCAGAGUCAGGUUGGAAUUUGGUAUCUUAUUGUUACAAAGAGUCUGUUUUAUCAGUCUUAAGAGCGUUAAUGGCAUGUUAAUGCUGGUCAGCUGUGCCUAAACUCCAAAGGGAGGAGGGUAAAUGGGGCACGUCCAACCCUCCCUUCCCACAUGGCCUGAGCUAGUUUUUCAGGUUUGCUUGGAUCCCCUUGACCAAGAGGACAGUCCGUUCAGUCAUUUGUUGGGGCGGGUGGGGAGGUGUUUGGAUUUUUUUUUUUUUUAGUUUAUAAGAGGAAUAGUCACUCGGUUACUAUUUUUUGCACGACAACGACUAAAAAGACAAACUUCCUCUGAUAAAUGCGGUUUAUCAAGAGAGAGAAAUAAACACACACAGAGAAUGAACUUCUUUGGCUCCAAACUGGAUAAAACAUUGGGAGGAAUUUUUAAGAUUAAUAUUCUGUGUGUAAAUACAUGUUCAUAAUAAUGUUUGAUUCAGGUGGCAAACACAAGUGCUCAUUCUAAAGAAAGGCGUCAACGUCAAACUCAGUUUGAAAAGUUUGCCAGGGACGCAAGACUCAGCACCUCGGGCUCAUGCAACUUGUAUCUGCCUAAAAUGAAUUGCAGCUUGUCAGGAGCUACUUGGAAGAACAAAAUGAUCUAGAAGACCAGAUGCGAAAGAGAGCAGAAGAAAUCACUCUUGUUUUGUUAAGCUUCAGGGAGUUUGACUUAGCGGGUGAAGAAAGACUGAACCCCAGGUGGCAAGAGAGAGAUGGGUCCCUUCGCUCUUCUCCCUGGACAACUGAACUUUCUCACACUCUCUCUAACUCCCACCUGCAGCCUGCAGUGGAGACUAGAGAUGCCCCAACGACCUUGCUUUGAAGACUGAGAUGAAGAAUGAAUCGUUAGAGGCACUUUGCAGGUGUGUGAGUGCUACACCGAUGCGAACAGGGACACAGUACUAAGCUGGCAAAACGUGUGUGUAAAUAGCAUCUGGGAGGAAACUGCAGUUUACAAUCCUAAAGGGAAGGAAAAAAAAGAAAGAGAUCAGAAGCCAAUAAGGGGCUGGUGCAGUGGCUCAUGCCUGUAAUCCCAGCAUUUGGUGGAU